UUACUAGAGUAGCACUCGCAUAUCAAUAAGCGGAGGAAAAGAAACUAACUAGGAUUCCCUCAGUAACGGCGAGUGAAGCGGGAAGAGCUCAAAUUUGAAAUCUUCAAGGUUUUACCUUGACGAAUUGUAGUUUAAAGAAGUGUUUUCUGUUGGUGUUUUGGUAAAAGUUCUUUGGAAUAGGACAUCAUAGAGGGUGAGAAUCCCGUAUUUGACCAUUACUUCCAGCGUUGUGAUACACUUUCAAAGAGUCGGAUUGUUUGGGAAUGCAGUCCAAAAUGGGUGGUAAAUUUCAUCUAAAGCUAAAUACUGGCGAGAGACCGAUAGCGAACAAGUACCGUGAGGGAAAGAUGAAAAGAACUUUGAAAAGAGAGUUAAACAGUACGUGAAAUUGUCAGAAGGGAAGCGUUUGACACCAGUGUUGUUUUCUCGAAAAUCAAUUAAAAAUGGUGGAUUCAUGCUGUUGUAUUGACCUUUAUCAGCUUCUGCAAUUUGUUUCUGGUCUCUUUUUAAUGCACUUUUCAGUUUAACAAGUCAACAUCAAUUUCUUUUGUUGUAAAAGAGGUAAUAGGAAGGUGGCUUUCUCUUCGGCGCAAGUGUUUAUAGCCUUUGACCUCUGCAGUCGGAGAGAUUGAGGUCUGCAGCGUAGAUCCUUCGGGGUUAGAUACAUUUGUGCUAAGCUAUAGCCUUGUAUAGACAACUUGUUGACUAUGCUCAGUCAUGUAGCUUACUCGCUUAUGCUAUUUUACCUACGCUUAGGAUGUUGAUAGUCACAGCGUGUAC
This 780-nucleotide ribosomal RNA is filed under the name uncultured Neocallimastigales. RNAcentral describes it as "partial large subunit ribosomal RNA". It matches the Rfam family "Eukaryotic large subunit ribosomal RNA", at positions 1 to 632 of the family's 3401-position model. Lineage: Eukaryota; Fungi; Neocallimastigomycota; Neocallimastigomycetes; Neocallimastigales. The record is from RNAcentral.